GCAGAAGACUUUUAAGCCAGCUAUACAAGAACUGAAGCCACCAACCUAUAAGCUAAUGACUCAGGCACAGUUGGAAGAGGCUACAAGACAGGCAGUUGAGGCAGCUAAAGUACGAUUAAAAAUGCCACCAGUUCUGGAAGAGCGAGUACCAAUAAAUGAUGUGUUAGCUGAAGAUAAGAUUUUGGAAGGAACAGAAACAACCAAAUAUGUGUUUACUGAUAUAUCAUAUAGCAUACCACACCGGGAGCGUUUUAUUGUCGUCAGAGAACCAAGUGGCACACUACGCAAAGCCUCUUGGGAAGAACGGGACCGAAUGAUACAAGUUUAUUUCCCAAAAGAAGGUCGUAAAAUUUUGACACCAAUAAUUUUCAAGGAAGAAAAUCUUAGGACUAUGUAUAGCCAGGACAGGCAUGUUGAUGUCCUCAAUCUCUGCUUUGCCCAGUUUGAGCCAGAUUCCACAGAGUAUAUCAAGGUGAGUAUAUUUUAGUUUCUAAAAUAUAGGCUUAAGUAUGGUUAUGAGUAAGAUUUUUAAUCUAGCUCAAUGAAUUUCGUUGUAAGUUUUGAUACA
Molecule: small RNA, 568 nt
Filed under: Pan troglodytes (chimpanzee)
Lineage: Eukaryota; Metazoa; Chordata; Mammalia; Primates; Hominidae
Description: retained intron
Source: RNAcentral